GGAGAGGUAUCGAAGUGGUCAUAACGGGGCGCACUCGAAAUGCGUUUGGGGGAAACUCCACGUGGGUUCGAAUCCCACCCUCUCCGCCA
This 89-nucleotide transfer RNA is filed under the name Clostridiales bacterium. RNAcentral's name for it is "tRNA-Ser". It matches the Rfam family "tRNA". From Rfam's summary of the family: Transfer RNA (tRNA) molecules are approximately 80 nucleotides in length. RNAcentral also lists the same sequence under 1 other name. The record is from RNAcentral. Lineage: Bacteria; Bacillati; Bacillota; Clostridia; Eubacteriales.